CGCAGCAGGCGCGAAAACUUUACAAUGCGGGCAACCGUGAUAAGGGAACCUCGAGUGCCUGUAAAUGCAGGCUGUUCAGAUGCCUAAAACACAUCUGGAGAAAGGGCCGGGCAAGACCGGUGCCAGCCGCCGCGGUAAUACCGGCGGCUCGAGUGGUGGCCACUUUUAUUGGGCUUAAAGCGUUCGUAGCUGGGUUGUUAAGUCUCUUGGGAAAUCUGGCGGCUUAACCGUCAGGCGUCUAAGGGAUACUGGCAAUCUUGGAACCGGGAGAGGUGAGGGGUACUUCGGGGGUAGGAGUGAAAUCCUGUAAUCCUCGAGGGACCACCUGUGGCGAAGGCGCCUCACCAGAACGGCUUCGACAGUGAGGGACGAAAGCUGGGGGAGCAAACCGGAUUAGAUACCCGGGUAGUCCCAGCCGUAAACUAUGCGCGUUAGGUGUAUCGGUGACCACGAGUUACCGAGGUGCCGAAGGGAAACCGUGAAACGUGCCGCCUGGGAAGUACGGUCGCAAGGCUGAAACUUAAAGGAAUUGGCGGGGGAGCACCACAACAGGUGGAGCCUGCGGUUUAAUUGGACUCAACGCCGGGAAGCUCACCGGAUAGG
RNAcentral lists this ribosomal RNA (603 nucleotides) under uncultured archaeon. RNAcentral's name for it is "bacterial SSU rRNA". It matches the Rfam family "Archaeal small subunit ribosomal RNA", at positions 331 to 938 of the family's 1478-position model. The record is from RNAcentral.